UCUAUAAUUAUCCUUGUUUUACAGAUGAUGAUGUUUUAAUGAGCUGAAUCAAUUUUUCUAAGGGUGAUUAUCAUAGACUGGAGCCAGGAUUCAAGUGCUUGCAGCCUAACUCCAGCACUGUGCCUUUCACCAUUUUGGGAGGCAACUGCACUAGGACAGUCUGAUCCCAGCAGCGAAUACUUCAAUGGAGGAGAACAAAGGCUAAACCCAGUUUCCACCUAUGACAGCUAAAAAUCAAGGUCAAUCCCAGGUGAAUGUAAGUCACAACUACGUCCUGAAGUAAUGUAUUAUUUAAUAAUUU
RNAcentral lists this long non-coding RNA (301 nucleotides) under Chinchilla lanigera (long-tailed chinchilla). RNAcentral's name for it is "lncRNA (ENSCLAG00000029052.1)". The record is from RNAcentral. Lineage: Eukaryota; Metazoa; Chordata; Mammalia; Rodentia; Chinchillidae.